GGGUUGUGAGGUUAAGCGACUAAGCGUACACGGUGGAUGCCCUGGCAGUCAGAGGCGAUGAAGGACGUGCUAAUCUGCGAAAAGCGUCGGUAAGGUGAUAUGAACCGUUAUAACCGGCGAUGUCCGAAUGGGGAAACCCAGUGCAAUUCGUUGCACUAUCGUUAACUGAAUACAUAGGUUAACGAGGCGAACCGGGGGAACUGAAACAUCUAAGUACCCCGAGGAAAAGAAAUCAACCGAGAUUCCCCCAGUAGCGGCGAGCGAACGGGGAGCAGCCCAGAGUCUGAAUCAGCUUGUGUGUUAGUGGAACGGUCUGGAAAGUCCGACGGUACAGGGUGAUAGUCCCGUACACCAAAAUGCACAGGCUGUGAACUCGAAGAGUAGGGCGGGACACGUGGUAUCCUGUCUGAAUAUGGGGGGACCAUCCUCCAAGGCUAAAUACUCCUGACUGACCGAUAGUGAACCAGUACCGUGAGGGAAAGGCGAAAAGAACCCCGGCGAGGGGAGUGAAAAAGAACCUGAAACCGUGUACGUACAAGCAGUGGGAGCACCUUCGGGUGUGACUGCGUACCUUUUGUAUAAUGGGUCAGCGACUUAUAUUCUGUAGCAAGGUUAACCGUAUAGGGGAGCCGCAGGGAAACCGAGUCUUAACUGGGCGUUAAGUUGCAGGGUAUAGACCCGAAACCCGGUGAUCUAGCCAUGGGCAGGUUGAAGGUUGGGUAACACUAACUGGAGGACCGAACCGACUAAUGUUGAAAAAUUAGCGGAUGACUUGUGGCUGGGGGUGAAAGGCCAAUCAAACCGGGAGAUAGCUGGUUCUCCCCGAAAGCUAUUUAGGUAGCGCCUCGUGAAUUCAUCUUCGGGGGUAGAGCACUGUUUCGGCUAGGGGGUCAUCCCGACUUACCAACCCGAUGCAAACUACGAAUACCGAAGAAUGUUAUCACGGGAGACACACGGCGGGUGCUAACGUCCGUCGUGAAGAGGGAAACAACCCAGACCGCCAGCUAAGGUCCCAAAGUCAUGGUUAAGUGGGAAACGAUGUGGGAAGGCACAGACAGCCAGGAUGUUGGCUUAGAAGCAGCCAUCAUUUAAAGAAAGCGUAAUAGCUCACUGGUCGAGUCGGCCUGCGCGGAAGAUGUAACGGGGCUAAACCAUGCACCGAAGCUGCGGCAGCGACACUAUGUGUUGUUGGGUAGGGGAGCGUUCUGUAAGCCUGCGAAGGUGUGCUGUGAGGCAUGCUGGAGGUAUCAGAAGUGCGAAUGCUGACAUAAGUAACGAUAAAGCGGGUGAAAAGCCCGCUCGCCGGAAGACCAAGGGUUCCUGUCCAACGUUAAUCGGGGCAGGGUGAGUCGACCCCUAAGGCGAGGCCGAAAGGCGUAGUCGAUGGGAAACAGGUUAAUAUUCCUGUACUUGGUGUUACUGCGAAGGGGGGACGGAGAAGGCUAUGUUAGCCGGGCGACGGUUGUCCCGGUUUAAGCAUGUAGGCUGAUUGUCCAGGCAAAUCCGGAUAAUCAAGGCUGAGGUGUGAUGACGAGGCACUACGGUGCUGAAGUAACAAAUGCCCUGCUUCCAGGAAAAGCCUCUAAGCAUCAGGUAACAUUAAAUCGUACCCCAAACCGACACAGGUGGUCAGGUAGAGAAUACCAAGGCGCUUGAGAGAACUCGGGUGAAGGAACUAGGCAAAAUGGUGCCGUAACUUCGGGAGAAGGCACGCUGGUGUGUAGGUGAAGCCCCUGCGGGUGGAGCUGAGACCAGUCGAAGAUACCAGCUGGCUGCAACUGUUUAUUAAAAACACAGCACUGUGCAAACACGAAAGUGGACGUAUACGGUGUGACGCCUGCCCGGUGCCGGAAGGUUAAUUGAUGGGGUUAUCCGUAAGGAGAAGCUCUUGAUCGAAGCCCCGGUAAACGGCGGCCGUAACUAUAACGGUCCUAAGGUAGCGAAAUUCCUUGUCGGGUAAGUUCCGACCUGCACGAAUGGCGUAAUGAUGGCCAGGCUGUCUCCACCCGAGACUCAGUGAAAUUGAACUCGCUGUGAAGAUGCAGUGUACCCGCGGCAAGACGGAAAGACCCCGUGAACCUUUACUAUAGCUUGACACUGAACAUUGAGCCUUGAUGUGUAGGAUAGGUGGGAGGCUUUGAAGCGUGGACGCCAGUCUGCGUGGAGCCAACCUUGAAAUACCACCCUUUAAUGUUUGAUGUUCUAACGUUGGCCCCUGACCGGGGUUGCGGACAGUGUCUGGUGGGUAGUUUGACUGGGGCGGUCUCCUCCCAAAGCGUAACGGAGGAGCACGAAGGUUAGCUAAUCCUGGUCGGACAUCAGGAGGUUAGUGCAAUGGCAUAAGCUAGCUUGACUGCGAGCGUGACGGCGCGAGCAGGUGCGAAAGCAGGUCAUAGUGAUCCGGUGGUUCUGAAUGGAAGGGCCAUCGCUCAACGGAUAAAAGGUACUCCGGGGAUAACAGGCUGAUACCGCCCAAGAGUUCAUAUCGACGGCGGUGUUUGGCACCUCGAUGUCGGCUCAUCACAUCCUGGGGCUGAAGUAGGUCCCAAGGGUAUGGCUGUUCGCCAUUUAAAGUGGUACGCGAGCUGGGUUUAGAACGUCGUGAGACAGUUCGGUCCCUAUCUGCCGUGGGCGCUGGAGAAUUGAGGGGGGCUGCUCCUAGUACGAGAGGACCGGAGUGGACGCAUCACUGGUGUUCGGGUUGUCAUGCCAAUGGCACUGCCCGGUAGCUAAAUGCGGAAGAGAUAAGUGCUGAAAGCAUCUAAGCACGAAACUUGCCCCGAGAUGAGUUCUCCCUGAGACUUUAAGUCUCCUGAAGGAACGUUAAAGACGAUGACGUUGAUAGGCCGGGUGUGUAAGCGCAGCGAUGCGUUGAGCUAACCGGUACUAAUGAACCGUGAGGCUUAACCUUACAACGCCGAAG
Molecule: ribosomal RNA, 2923 nt
Filed under: Klebsiella pneumoniae
Lineage: Bacteria; Pseudomonadati; Pseudomonadota; Gammaproteobacteria; Enterobacterales; Enterobacteriaceae
Description: bacterial LSU rRNA
Rfam family: Bacterial large subunit ribosomal RNA
Source: RNAcentral